This 283-nucleotide ribosomal RNA is filed under the name uncultured bacterium. RNAcentral's name for it is "partial 16S ribosomal RNA". It matches the Rfam family "Bacterial small subunit ribosomal RNA", at positions 333 to 633 of the family's 1533-position model. The record is from RNAcentral.
UGGUGCCUACGGGGGGCAGCAGUGGGGAAUAUUGCACAAUGGGGGAAACCCUGAUGCAGCGACGCCGCGUGAGUGAAGAAGUAUUUCGGUAUGUAAAGCUCUAUCAGCAGGGAAGAAAAUGACGGUACCUGACUAAGAAGCCCCGGCUAACUACGUGCCAGCAGCCGCGGUAAUACGUAGGGGGCAAGCGUUAUCCGGAUUUACUGGGUGUAAAGGGAGCGUAGACGGCAUGGCAAGUCAGAUGAGGAAGCCAGGGGCACAACCCCGGGACUGCAUUUGAAAC